CCAAGAUACAGAAAACAUAAAUAAUAAGGAUGAAAAACAAGUCAGAUCUUAUGCGUAGUAUUAUUCCAUGAUAUUACAACAAUCAAUUACAAGUCCAUUGAGGAGAUCAUAUGACAAGCCUAAAGAUGCGAUGACUAGAGGUUCAGCAUGAGAAAGAAGAGUAUGGAACUAAACUAAGUCCAUGUAACCCAAAAAAAUAAAGAGAAUAGACCCAAUUUUAUUUGAUUGCACCGGCUGAGGACUUCUAAAUUUUCAACUACAAACUCUAAAUACUUGUGAAUAUGUAAAGAAAGAAUUGAGAAACAUCAAUUGAAGUGUUCGUAAUGCUACCUAAAUUGGGAGACAAUCCAUUUCAAAUUUACAAUUAUCCCAUUAGUUCAUAUGUGAAUCACUUUUUCAGCUGAAAUGCAUGGAUUUUAAGUUGAGUCCAAAUGUAACCUAAGAGAGACGUUCUGUACCAAAAAAAUAAAAACGCUGAAGAAUUUUACAGCCUUGUGUUUGCUAGAACUUUUGCCAAUUUAGAUAUUGACAAGCAAAUUAUGGAACAUCAAGAGCAAAGAAACCAAACAAAAUCAAAGUUGAUGACUAGGCUGGACUAGGAUUUUGUUUCUUCACUGAUUUCCAAGGAGAACUAUUCUUCCUAAUGGUGGUCACAGCUAUGCACUAGAGUCAAUAGAGAAGCUACAGGGGUUACAUUUCAUCAUGAUAUCUAACUGUAAAUAGCAUUUAUAGGCAGCUGCCAGGAUUCAAGAGUACAUUUAGCUCUCACGCUUGAGCAAUCCAACCACACUUAAGCAGGAAAAAGGUGGUAAAUUAAUUGAAUGAUCAAGAAAGGUAUAGUUGGUUCCGGCCAGUGGAUAUGCUGAACUAUCUGCCUCCUCAUAAAAAAACCCUUUUAUCAUUGAUCAAGAUUAAAAGAGGAGCUUCUCUAGUCCUCUGACAACUAAAGAGCAUAUUUUACCUGUGUAGAACCUGUAUCAUGAUUCUCUAUAAAUGUAACAGCACGAGAUGGCCACCAU
This 1019-nucleotide unclassified non-coding RNA is filed under the name Hevea brasiliensis (rubber tree). The record is from RNAcentral. Lineage: Eukaryota; Viridiplantae; Streptophyta; Magnoliopsida; Malpighiales; Euphorbiaceae.